UACUAAACCUGAACAGCUUCCUUUUUUGUCAGAUUUUUGGAUUAACUUUGAGCCUAUUUCGUUAGCUGACACGUGUUAUAGUGUGCAUCGUUCCUGUUCCGUGUAUACUUCUGGGGGUACCUUGCUCUUCCUGUCUAUUUUGACUACCUCAUGUGGUGUUUGCUUCUGUGUGCAUGUAGCCUUUUGUCCCAGUCAAAGCGGCGAGAAGAACCACCGCUGGACUGCAAAACAAAACAAGAAAUACACUUCCCCAUCCCUGCACCCUACAUCCUACCGGCGCCGUCCUCUCCCCUCCCCGCAGCCAUGGCUCGAGGCUUUCCUCCUCCUCCCCAACUUCUCCCUGCAGCCAUCUGACGCUCCGGCGCCCUUCUCGCUGCCACCCAAGGCUUAAUCCCCGUCAACCGCGUGCGUCGCCGCUAGGAGCCUCACGGACGAGAUGGGCGUCGCGGUGGUGGGGCGGAUGUUCGUGGCCGACGCCAUGCUGCGCUUUCACCUUGGGGCGGCCAUGUUCGUGCGUGCCGGCAGCCGCCGUCGCCCGGGUGUGCUGAAACUGCAGGUGCUGCCCCUCUGCCAACGGACGCAGAUGGUGUGGAGCCCUCGCGAUGGAGGCAGAGCAGGCUGCCUGUAGGCACGACGAUGGUUGACGGCAACCAGGCGACGGCAAAGCGCAGCGUCCAGCCGGUCAGGUAUUUACCACUUCUCCAGUCGCAUACACAUAUCAGAUAAACUUGGGUCGGGAGCUUUCGUCAAAAAAAUUCCCCACGCGUGAUUUCAAGACACACCGGGCGCUAGGGAGAGGGGCUGUUUCUCAGCGAUCUUCACGCGACUUCGGGGCGGAGUAGACACCGGCCGGGGACGGCGACCUCGAGGCGGAGCAGGUGCGGGCCGCAACGACCUCAGCAACCCGGCGAGCGACCGGCGACGACGACCUCAUGACGGGCUAAGAGGGGGCGUUGACCGAGCCCGCCUGCCGGGGACGGCGAGCUCAGGGCGGAGCAGUCGCGGGCCGGUGACGGUGAUCUUAGGGCAAAGAAGGCGCGAGCCGCCGGCAACGACCUCCGGCUGGAGCAGGCAGGAGCCAGCGAGCCACCGUCGACGGUGGCAAGCAGGAGGACAUGCGGGGAAACGACAGGCUGCCGUGUGGGUGUCUGAGAUCGGCGCCGCCCUUUUUCAUCAUGCGACAAUGUUGGUCGGAGCUUAGCCGCCUCCAGUCCCUGCUCAUCUUCGUCGCACACGGGAGCCAUCCAAGUUGACUCCUCCACUCGAUGCCUCUUCUUAGCGCACAAAUCUUGGACGGCCGGAUUCUUCCUUCUGGACUACAGAAACUUGGAGUUAGCAACCAACGUUGGGCUGAAUGCGGAAAUUCAUUCGCAUCCUCUAUUGGUCUCCUCCUUUAUACAAGCCAUCUGUUUUCGCUACAAGCUUCUGUUAGUUUUACUUAUAUGCAGUUGUAAAGAUUCCGUGUGUUUGUAUUUUCUGGUCAGUGUUAUAUGAUAUAUGGCUCAAAUGUCCACUGACUUGCAUAAUUAAAAUCUGCACAUCGUUGCGGAUUUUUUUGAUAUCACUCAGAUUUAGCUAGCAGCAUUACGGAAAACUAAUGUGCCUCGCUAUAUUUUAAAAAUGAUACACGUUAGUCAAUUGAGAUGGAAGAGCAUGGAGAUGACUUAUAUUUUUUUCCAUCCACUGAACAAAUCAGUUUUAACCGUCCUUUGUUGUUUCUUUUCUUCUUCUCCAGAUGUUUAUUGACUAUAGGUCACAUACUGUAGAAGAUACAAAUAAUCUCUCUUUUCUAUUGAUAAUUGAAGUUAUUAAUUUUGUGGUGGUGACAAUAAUCGCAUAAUAAUCAAAAUACAUGCCCUGCAUUGUUGCUGCUGAGCACUAUUCUCUUUUCUGUGUACAUAUUUACAGAUGUUGAGAUGUGACCCUGAGUGCUUAGGUUUGAUUAGAAACAUUUUUUUCGCCGUCGUUGCCAAGGUUCCAGUGAUUGACUAUGUGUGUUGCAGGUGUUGUCCUAUCCUGCAUACCUUGCUUCUAUUUUUUUAGAAAUUUGUAGCUCUCUUUUCUAUUGAUAAUUGAAGUUAUUAAUUUUGUGGUGGUGACAAUAAUCGCAUAAUAAUCAAAAUACAUGCCCUGCAUUGUUGCUGCUGAGCACUAUUCUCUUUUCUGUGUACAUAUUUGCAGAUGUUGAGAUGUGACCCUGAGUGCUUAGGUUUGAUUAGAAACGGUUUUUUCGCCAUCGUUGCCAAGGUUCCAGUGAUUGACUAUGUGUGUUGCAGGGUAACAUUUAUUGUGUGGCCAGAUUUUGCCCGGCCGCGCCCCUUGGGCAGCGGCGGAGGAGGGAGGAGGCAGGUGGAGGGGGUGGGAGGCGCGGCGGCUAGGGUUCAUGUGGCUGAUUAGCCCCUUCCUGAUAGCUGGCCAUUCAAGCUUCAUGAUGUUUUCUUGGUUUUAUCAUUAUAUGUGAUGGUCCACUGUUAGUUCAGCCAAAUAUCAUUCUUGUGGUCCAGUUGCAUGUUAUACAAUGAACACACCCAGUACGAAGGUUAAACGCAGUAUCCUGUAUUUUCAGAUAGUUGAUCGUGUUGCUGUGCAUGUGCUUCGCUGGAGCUGUGGUUCCCAAAUUAAAUCAUACAUUCAGGUAUUGCCUUCCAAUUUCAUAUCAUGUUCUCUCCAGUUAGUGUCCACUUAUUUUGCGGUUGGUGAAAAUCAAAUAGACAAAAGUUGGUUCAUACACACCUACUAAUUUUGUAUAUUCAGCUGUUAGUUAGCUCAAGAGAAAUAGGGCUUAGUGUGGGUUCCCACUUUUGAUUUAUUUAGUGUUCCAGUAGCCCAAUUAAUCUAUGUAAGGUAAGCAGGCAUGUAUAUGGUUUUGCAGCCAAAGAACAAUGAAGAUCAGGUCACAAGAUUAGUGUGGCUUCGAAGAAUAGAAUAAUCAUGUGAGCCUAUUGCAAAAAUAGAUCUGGUGUUUUCCAUAAUGAUUUUUCCCGAUCACUGUACUAAUCUGGUGUUUUUUUAGUUUGUAGCUGCAUUUGAAAGUAAGAACUUGACAGAUUAGUGCAACCAUUUUAAAUUUUAGUUUACACUGUAAUUGGAGAAAGAGGAGAUGCUAGGAUCCUGGGUGAUGAAAUAAUGUUGCAGUGAUAAAUGUUGGUUUCGACUCCAGAUUGCUACUUGUGGAUGCUUUAUUUGAAGGCUUUAUCUUGAGACAAACACUUAAAGAUAGAUUGGUGGAACGAGCUUCAGAAGGGAAAGGAGUAGGACAAAGGUGUCGUCACAGAAGACGUAGGGCUGAGAUCAGGGGAAGGAGGUGUCGGGAGGGAGACUGCAGCGACUGCGACGAGCUCGGCUUUCUUCCGCGCUGUUAGAUCUUCUUUUUAUCUGUAUGUGGCUUUUUAUUUCUUUCCAUCACAUUUAUACUGCUUCUGGUUUUGUAUUCCUGUUGCCUUAUAAUGGAUUAGUCCUUAUGUCCGCUUCCAUAUGAUUGGACGUGUUGGUGGCCGCCGGCCAGGUCAACAUCUAAGAUCACCUCAAGGUGUUGCCCCUGCACCAUCUAUUUGUGUUACACGUUAUGCUCCUUCCGGUGGUGAGCGGGCUGGUCUCAAGUGUUUGGGAAGGAUCAUGCUUGGUCUCAUCGGUUUGUUGCUCCUCUGUUUCGCCCACUAUCGACACGCCUCUCACCUGCUAAUUUUAUUUCUGAAACUUUACAUGCCAACCUGUAUUUCUUGCUUUAAUUAUUGCUUCCAGAUGUUGUAAUGUGCUCUUCAGGUGUGCUAACUUUUUAAUUGAUCUUAUGUGUAUUCUAGAAUGGUAAGGCGCCUUUGGUGUGGACUGGCGAACCAGAGCCUGUACAUGAUGUUCAAACUGAGCUUGACGUGUCGCUUAUGUAUUGGACUAACCACUAAUAUUUCGAGUUCAUCAUCAAUGCAGCUACCUAGGAUGUUCUUGGGUUCAAGCACACCACUGUGUUCACACUUAUAAAAUUCAGAUCGUUCUAUUGGUUUCCUAAAUUGUGCAUGCAUUCCAGAGUCUGACAAAGAAUGUCUCCUAGGAAGGUACAGUUUAUUGGUUUGCAGCACAACAAAAAAGGUAACUACUGAGGUAAUGUACUCUAUGAAGUGUUUAUUACCUGCUAUGUAACUAAUGCAUCAUGCGAGGAGUUGUAACAUGUUGGUCCUUUUUGAACAUGCUAUGGGAAAUGGCGUGUUACACUGGUACAGGUGACAGUUAGAUCAGUCUGCACGAUAAUGAAUACCCAACCCAGAUGACUUCAGUACAAAGAAUAGAAGGCAAAAUUUCGGCAGGUCAUGAGGUCCUUUCUAUUUCCUUUGGCUUUUCUCUAGACGAUAGUUAGCCAUAGUUAUAAUGUAGAUAAGAAAGAAAAAUUGUGAGUGUCAUUUUCCCUUCUAUUAGAGUGGCUGCUUUGAAACAAAUUUGCAAUUUACUGUUCUAAAACUAAUUAGUCAGUCAUAUUAUUUAGAUGGCAAAUAUGAAAAUACUACAAAUAGUGUUUGUUUACCAUUGUGCUAGCGUCAGGCAUGACUCAAAUUUUGCCAGUCUAGACAUAUAUUGCUUUCUUUUUCCCUUAUUUUUGCGUUGACAUAGACAUAUAACACCUCAUGUUUAAUAUGACUCAUAUAGCGUCGGAAAGGCAUGCCAUUAUAAAAGGAAAUAUUUAUUUUUAGACCUUUUUACAUCAAAAAAACCUUGCACGCACUGAAGGGUAUGCCACAGUUAUUAGUUAUACUUCAUUUAUAUUUAUGUUCUUCGCAGUCCUUUCUGUGUAUUAUACAAAAGGUAUAUGACUGCAUUGGAAAAACUCACCGAAUUAAGCAAAUUCAUGUUGGAUUCUAUUCACUAUCGUCCCUGUACAAGAAAAUUAGCUAGGUCACGUAUUGUCCAGGUACAGAUGAACAUGGGAUUCAAAAGGUCCACCUUCAGUAUACAUGUAUUUGACCACAAUGUUCAGCUAUUACUAUUCAGGAUCGCCCUUCUAUGUGUCUGUGUCAUUCGUCAUACCUUACAGAUCUGAUCGAGAUUUCUACAGAGAGCAAAUAUAAAUGUCCACUACUUGAUGUGGUUGUGCACGCUCAUGCAGUCUUGGACGGUAUACACUCUACCUACAUUUCA
This is a long non-coding RNA of Lolium perenne, 5124 nucleotides long. RefSeq lists it as uncharacterized. The record is from RefSeq and is a predicted model, not a curated record. NCBI's taxonomy places the organism in Eukaryota, Viridiplantae, Streptophyta, Magnoliopsida, Poales, Poaceae.